RNAcentral lists this ribosomal RNA (196 nucleotides) under Staphylococcus sp. LA3. RNAcentral's name for it is "partial 16S ribosomal RNA". It matches the Rfam family "Bacterial small subunit ribosomal RNA", at positions 318 to 509 of the family's 1533-position model. Lineage: Bacteria; Bacillati; Bacillota; Bacilli; Caryophanales; Staphylococcaceae. The record is from RNAcentral.
UUUACCACACGGUCCAGAAUCCUNCNGGAGGCGUCAGUAANGAAUCUUCCUCAAUGGACGAAAGCNUGACGGANCUACUCCGCANGAGUGAUGAGGUCUUCGGAUNGUGAUACUCUGUUGUUAGGGAAGAACAAAUUUGUUAGUAACUGUACNAUCUUGACGGUACCUAACCAGAAAGCCACGCUANUCAAGGCUC